AGCGAACGCUGGCGGCAGGCCUAACACAUGCAAGUCGAACGAACUCUUCGGAGUUAGUGGCGGACGGGUGAGUAACACGUGGGAACGUGCCUUUUGGUUCGGAAUAACUCAGGGAAACUUGUGCUAAUACCGAAUGUGCCCUUCGGGGAAAGAUUUAUCGCCAUUAGAGCGGCCCGCGUCUGAUUAGCUAGUUGGCGAGG
RNAcentral lists this ribosomal RNA (200 nucleotides) under uncultured bacterium. RNAcentral describes it as "partial 16S ribosomal RNA". It matches the Rfam family "Bacterial small subunit ribosomal RNA", at positions 29 to 257 of the family's 1533-position model. The record is from RNAcentral.